GCCGCCCUUUCACCCCUGGCAGGAAACUUAGCACCCGAGAAAGCGCAGCCACGGUCUCUGAUUGGCACAGCUUUGUUUUGCGCGUUCCGGGGCAACAGUUUAUUUGGUUUUACGGCAGCGGUGUCCUGUAACAGCGGAGCGAGUUUUCUCUUCAGCGUCAAAAAAAAGCAAAGAAAAAGCCCCCCUCGCUGUGAAACGGGACACCACGGUUCCCAGUGGCCCAAGGCUUUGGCAAUUGAACUUUGCUGCAGACUCACUCCGCGGCACAGCGCUCCGCCGGCCCGUGGCAAACGCAGGUGUGUUGGGGAGCGGGGGGAGGCUAGAGGAAAGGACGUGCACGGCCCCCGAGCCUCUCUAGUGACCCUUGGAAGAGGCAGGGAGGCAGGGGCUGGACGCACGCCCCGGACCGCGUCGCUGCGGGCCAAGGAGCUGUGCAGAAGCGAGGCUUGGCGGAUCGCGCCCAGCCCGACAGCUGCGCCGCGCUGCGCCGCCAGCGCCCGGCCCCCAGCCCUUGCGAGCGUGCGGAAAGGGGUGCAGCUUCGCGUGGAGAGGACGCCACGAUGCCAGCUGCCCGCUCGGCCUCACGGCCCCGACACGCCCGUCGCGGAGUCAGACCGGCUCUGCGAAGCGCUUCCUCCUACACGCUCCGCCCGAUGGCCUCCCCGGCACCGCGGUGCGCAGCUGGGCCUCCAAGCCCCUUGGCCGCUGGAAUCCGAGCCCCGCGCCAGAAGGCACUGGCCCGGGGCGGGGAGUGAACGGCGGGGGCCCGGGGCUCGCGGCUCCAGAAACGGCUCCCGAUCCCCGCACUCUCCCGCGCCGGCUUCGCGCGAGCCUUCGGUGCGCUCCUGCCCAGGUGCCCUGCCCGAUCUCACUCCCCAGCCGGCUCCUCGAGGUCCCGCGGCCGCUGAUUUGCCGAGUGCACGCCUCUGCGCAGCGCGGGGAGCUUCGGGCGCGGCUCCCCGAAAGCAAUGUCCAGCGCAGCAGACGGACAGCCGCACGCUCCCCCGCGCCAGGAGGCGCGAACUGCGUGAGCGCGGACGCGGGCUUUGGAGUCGCGACCCCGCACGCAGCGCGGAGAGCCCUGCUCGGGCCUCCGCCGCCGGACUCACUCACCAUCGCUGA
Molecule: long non-coding RNA, 1122 nt
Filed under: Oryctolagus cuniculus (rabbit)
Lineage: Eukaryota; Metazoa; Chordata; Mammalia; Lagomorpha; Leporidae
Description: lncRNA (ENSOCUG00000034925.1)
Source: RNAcentral